Molecule: non-coding RNA, 675 nt
Organism: Danio rerio (zebrafish)
Lineage: Eukaryota; Metazoa; Chordata; Actinopteri; Cypriniformes; Danionidae
Source: Ensembl
AUUAUGUUUAGAAAUGUGCUGAAACAAUCUUCCCUCCAUUAAACAGAAAUUGGUAAAAAACAAACAAACAGGGGCGCUAAUAAUUUAGGGGGGCUAAUAAUUCUGACUUUAACUGUAUAUUAAUAUAAUAUGUGGCAUCCCAGUCAGCCCCUGCUGUGAGUUGAUUUGACCCAAGAAGCUGGGUUGAUGUGUUUGUGUGGUAGUAGGGUUGCAUUGAUUAAACUCUUAGCAAUUAUUACCCAGAAAAUAACCAAAGUUUGGGUUACAUAGCACUACCCAAAAACUACCCAAGACUGUAAAAAAAUAAAUAAAUAAAUAACCCCCAAAAAUUACCCAAAUGCCUCAACCCCACAUUUGGGUAGAAAGAAAUAACCCCGGAUUUUUUAGAGUGUAGUAUGCUUAAAUUUUAAAUCAAUACACCUAUAUUGUAUAUCAUGUGGACUUUAAUGGUUAUAGUUACGUCCUUGCUAAGAACAAACAGGGUGCCACUGGGCUAUGAAUGUGGCCCCUUUUAGUAUGCUUUAAUUUUAAGUCAAUACAUCAAUAUUAUAUAUUUUGGGGAUUGUAAGGGUAAUAAUUCUGUACAAUUAUAAGAGAAGACGCUUCAAUCCCAGUUUGUGGGCGUUAAAUCAGGUUUAUAUUGUACAUUAAUAAAACAAUUAUCCAAACAGCAGU